This 1074-nucleotide long non-coding RNA is filed under the name Oryctolagus cuniculus (rabbit). RNAcentral describes it as "lncRNA (ENSOCUG00000030014.1)". The record is from RNAcentral. Lineage: Eukaryota; Metazoa; Chordata; Mammalia; Lagomorpha; Leporidae.
AUGGGGGCGAGAGGGGAGAAAAGCGGACGGAGCAACCGCGCCCUCUCUCAUCUGCGCCCACUCAGGGCACGCAGGACAGACGGGCCCGCGUGGCUGGCUCCACACACCAGCCCGGGUCUGGUCUGGGCCACGAGCGCACGACUGGGAACUGGCCCAUCCAGGACACUGGGUCAGAUUCUCCUGGUGGCCCGCCGCACUACAAGGCAGACAACUCCCCAGCUGCCUGGGGGCACGGCACGGGUCCAGAACACGCUCGUGCCAGCGUCAGAGGGCACAUCGAGGACUGGUCCUCAGGCAGCGGCCACGCCUCCUGGACGCUGUCCCGGGAGCUCGGAGACCAGCCAACGCCAAGAGGAAGGCAAGGACGUCUCAGGAGAGGCAGAGGCACAGAGCACCACCCUCGCGGAGCCCAGCGUGCCCGCGCCUAAGUCCGCUGCGCACACUGGGCCACCAGGGGCAGUGGGGCACUCCACGCCGGGUCCCAUGAGGCUUCUGCACUCGCAGCCUCCGUGGCCACGCCAGGCAUGCGGGCUGGGAGUGCUGCACCAGACCCCCGGGGUGGGUCAUGGCGGGAGCAGACGUGGGGGGCGGGGAAGCCUACGCCCCUCCCGCACGGGUCAGCAGACCACCACGCAGAGAAACGGACAACCUGCGGACAGGCCCAGGCAGCGUGCAGCCAACCAGAGCACCCGGGAGGACACACGGCCCCGUCUCGGAGCGCCUGACUCGCACCGCGGCCCCUCUCUCCCCAGGGAGCACAUCCUUCCCGGGCAGAGCCCCGAGGACGUCCCCGCAGCUCCAGAGCACAGGCCAGCGUUUCGGGACAAGGAAUCCCAUGGCGACACCUUCCCGGUCCCGGAGGCAAUAGGAAAGCCCGUUCUCGCUCAAGGAGCCCCGGCAACCCAGCGGGCUCCCAGGGGCAGAGGACACAAGGCACACGGGCCCCUACCGUGGUCGUGGUCAGCUUCGGUGCUGGGAGUCAUGGUUGGGAGCGGCACGUCCGGAACAGGUUCCCGGGUGCCGGGCUCGGCGUCUGCGGAAGAAGAAGAGACAUCACACACUUGGCCUGAGUGA